GAUGAACGCUGGCGGCGUGCCUAAUACAUGCAAGUCGAGCGAACGGACGAGAAGCUUGCUUCUCUGAUGUUAGCGGCGGACGGGUGAGUAACACGUGGAUAACCUACCUAUAAGACUGGGAUAACUUCGGGAAACCGGAGCUAAUACCGGAUAAUAUUUUGAACCGCAUGGUUCAAAAGUGAAAGACGGUCUUGCUGUCACUUAUAGAUGGAUCCGCGCUGCAUUAGCUAGUUGGUAAGGUAACGGCUUACCAAGGCAACGAUGCAUAGCCGACCUGAGAGGGUGAUCGGCCACACUGGAACUGAGACACGGUCCAGACUCCUACGGGAGGCAGCAGUAGGGAAUCUUCCGCAAUGGGCGAAAGCCUGACGGAGCAACGCCGCGUGAGUGAUGAAGGUCUUCGGAUCGUAAAACUCUGUUAUUAGGGAAGAACAUAUGUGUAAGUAACUGUGCACAUCUUGACGGUACCUAAUCAGAAAGCCACGGCUAACUACGUGCCAGCAGCCGCGGUAAUACGUAGGUGGCAAGCGUUAUCCGGAAUUAUUGGGCGUAAAGCGCGCGUAGGCGGUUUUUUAAGUCUGAUGUGAAAGCCCACGGCUCAACCGUGGAGGGUCAUUGGAAACUGGAAAACUUGAGUGCAGAAGAGGAAAGUGGAAUUCCAUGUGUAGCGGUGAAAUGCGCAGAGAUAUGGAGGAACACCAGUGGCGAAGGCGACUUUCUGGUCUGUAACUGACGCUGAUGUGCGAAAGCGCGGGGAUCAAACAGGAUUAGAUACCCUGGUAGUCCACGCCGUAAACGAUGAGUGCUAAGUGUUAGGGGGUUUCCGCCCCUUAGUGCUGCAGCUAACGCAUUAAGCACUCCGCCUGGGGAGUACGACCGCAAGGUUGAAACUCAAAGGAAUUGACGGGGACCCGCACAAGCGGUGGAGCAUGUGGUUUAAUUCGAAGCAACGCGAAGAACCUUACCAAAUCUUGACAUCCUUUGACAACUCUAGAGAUAGAGCCUUCCCCUUCGGGGGACAAAGUGACAGGUGGUGCAUGGUUGUCGUCAGCUCGUGUCGUGAGAUGUUGGGUUAAGUCCCGCAACGAGCGCAACCCUUAAGCUUAGUUGCCAUCAUUAAGUUGGGCACUCUAAGUUGACUGCCGGUGACAAACCGGAGGAAGGUGGGGAUGACGUCAAAUCAUCAUGCCCCUUAUGAUUUGGGCUACACACGUGCUACAAUGGACAAUACAAAGGGCAGCGAAACCGCGAGGUCAAGCAAAUCCCAUAAAGUUGUUCUCAGUUCGGAUUGUAGUCUGCAACUCGACUACAUGAAGCUGGAAUCGCUAGUAAUCGUAGAUCAGCAUGCUACGGUGAAUACGUUCCCGGGUCU
Molecule: ribosomal RNA, 1372 nt
Filed under: uncultured bacterium
Lineage: Bacteria
Description: bacterial SSU rRNA
Rfam family: Bacterial small subunit ribosomal RNA
Source: RNAcentral